GUGGAUUAGAUACCCCGGUAGUCCACGCCGUAAACGAUGAAUGCUAGGUGUUGGGGGUUUCGAUACCCUCGGUGCCGAAGUUAACACAUUAAGCAUUCCGCCUGGGGAGUACGGUCGCAAGACUGAAACUCAAAGGAAUUGACGGGGACCCGCACAAGCAGUGGAGUAUGUGGUUUAAUUCGAAGCAACGCGAAGAACCUUACCAGGUCUUGACAUCUGAAUGACCGUCCUAGAGAUAGGGCUUUCCUUCGGGACAUUCAAGACAGGUGGUGCACGGUUGUCGUCAACU
This 289-nucleotide ribosomal RNA is filed under the name uncultured bacterium. Its description in RNAcentral is "partial 16S ribosomal RNA". It matches the Rfam family "Bacterial small subunit ribosomal RNA", at positions 773 to 1060 of the family's 1533-position model. The record is from RNAcentral.